RNAcentral lists this ribosomal RNA (1317 nucleotides) under Sulfitobacter sp. CW126-B11. RNAcentral describes it as "bacterial SSU rRNA". It matches the Rfam family "Bacterial small subunit ribosomal RNA", at positions 205 to 1533 of the family's 1533-position model. Lineage: Bacteria; Pseudomonadati; Pseudomonadota; Alphaproteobacteria; Rhodobacterales; Roseobacteraceae. The record is from RNAcentral.
AGAUUUAUCGGGAAAGGAUUGGCCCGCGUUAGAUUAGAUAGUUGGUGGGGUAAUGGCCUACCAAGUCUACGAUCUAUAGCUGGUUUUAGAGGAUGAUCAGCAACGCUGGGACUGAGACACGGCCCAGACUCCUACGGGAGGCAGCAGUGGGGAAUCUUAGACAAUGGGCGCAAGCCUGAUCUAGCCAUGCCGCGUGUGUGAUGAAGGUCUUAGGAUCGUAAAGCACUUUCGCCAGGGAUGAUAAUGACAGUACCUGGUAAAGAAACCCCGGCUAACUCCGUGCCAGCAGCCGCGGUAAUACGGAGGGGGUUAGCGUUGUUCGGAAUUACUGGGCGUAAAGCGUACGUAGGCGGAUUGGAAAGUUGGGGGUGAAAUCCCAGGGCUCAACCCUGGAACUGCCUCCAAAACUAUCAGUCUAGAGUUCGAGAGAGGUGAGUGGAAUUCCAAGUGUAGAGGUGAAAUUCGUAGAUAUUUGGAGGAACACCAGUGGCGAAGGCGGCUCACUGGCUCGAUACUGACGCUGAGGUACGAAAGUGUGGGGAGCAAACAGGAUUAGAUACCCUGGUAGUCCACACCGUAAACGAUGAAUGCCAGUCGUCGGGCAGUAUACUGUUCGGUGACACACCUAACGGAUUAAGCAUUCCGCCUGGGGAGUACGGUCGCAAGAUUAAAACUCAAGGAAUUGACGGGGGCCCGCACAAGCGGUGGAGCAUGUGGUUUAAUUCGAAGCAACGCGCAGAACCUUACCAACCCUUGACAUCCUGUGCUAACCCGAGAGAUCGGGCGUUCACUUCGGUGACGCAGUGACAGGUGCUGCAUGGCUGUCGUCAGCUCGUGUCGUGUGAUGUUCGGUUAAGUCCGGCAACGAGCGCAACCCACAUCCUUAGUUGCCAGCAGUUCGGCUGGGCACUCUAAGGAAACUGCCCGUGAUAAGCGGGAGGAAGGUGUGGAUGACGUCAAGUCCUCAUGGCCCUUACGGGUUGGGCUACACACGUGCUACAAUGGCAGUGACAAUGGGUUAAUCCCAAAAAGCUGUCUCAGUUCGGAUUGGGGUCUGCAACUCGACCCCAUGAAGUCGGAAUCGCUAGUAAUCGCGUAACAGCAUGACGCGGUGAAUACGUUCCCGGGCCUUGUACACACCGCCCGUCACACCAUGGGAGUUGGUUCUACCCGACGACGCUGCGCUAACCUUCGGGGGGCAGGCGGCCACGGUAGGAUCAGCGACUGGGGUGAAGUCGUAACAAGGUAGCCGAUAGAGUUUGAUCCUGGCUCAGUAGGGUUUGAUCCUGGCUCAGGAAAGUCGUAACAAGGUAGCCG